GGCGUACAGGACGAACGGCUGGCGGCGUGCUAACACAUGCAAGUCGAGCGAGGAGAUCCUUCGGGAUGAUCCUAGCGGCGGACGGGUGAGUAACACGUGGGCAACCUGCCUCAUAGAGAGGAAUAGCCUUCCGAAAGGGAGAUUAAUACCUCAUAACAUUGCAGUUUCGCAUGGAACAGCAAUUAAAGGAGUAAUCCGCUAUGAGAUGGGCCCGCGGCGCAUUAGCUAGUUGGUGAGGUAACGGCUCACCAAGGCGACGAUGCGUAGCCGACCUGAGAGGGUGAUCGGCCACAUUGGGACUGAGACACGGCCCAGACUCCUACGGGAGGCAGCAGUGGGGAAUAUUGCACAAUGGGGGAAACCCUGAUGCAGCCAACGCCGCGUGAGUGAUGACGGCCUUCGGGUUGUAAAGCUCUGUCUUCAGGGACGAUAAUGACGGUACCUGAGGAGGAAGCCACGGCUAACUACGUGCCAGCAGCUGC
Molecule: ribosomal RNA, 482 nt
Filed under: uncultured bacterium
Lineage: Bacteria
Description: bacterial SSU rRNA
Rfam family: Bacterial small subunit ribosomal RNA
Source: RNAcentral